UACAAGAGGGUAAGAGACACUCCCUGGUAGGCCAAAGACCAAAGCAAUAGUAAUUCAUGUGGUACUUAGACUUCUCCCAAGCUUGAUCCUUCGUGCGGGUACCUCACACUUAGUUCGAGCCAUUUGAUUUGUUGGUGCAUCCUUCCAGUACCUUUGCUUUCCACGCUCCCAGUAAAUAAAACAAUUGGCACUACAAAAAACGCUCAGAAACAGUGUUGCUUGUUCCCCUCCAUCUUCAAGGACAACAAGUAAGUUUUCUCUUCCCUUCGUCCUUUCCUCACCCCAGCAACCGCUUUUUCCUCUUUCAUCUCUCUUCUUUUAUUUUUCUUCUUUCUUUAGGUUACUUUGUGUUGUAAGUUGAGUAGGGUAUAAAUUCGGGAAAUUAAGGGAUUAAUGGGUCUUGUUUGGGUGAUUAUUGAAUUAAAUUAGGUAAAAAACUAUAAUGUUUACCGCCUCACUUAAACUGGCAAGCAAAGAACAAAGUACGCACAUAAUAUGUUUGAUAAAAUGCCUAAGUGACUUUUUUAAUGAGUUUUGUGAAUUCCGAGUAGCGACCUUCUUCUGAUGGUAAAGCGAGCAGCUCUUAAGUGUGGGGUGGCUGUUUGGGAGUUCAUGAAUAUAAAUUACAUACAAUUUUUUAUGAGUGUCAACCCACAACCGAUUUAGGAACGACUCAUGUGUCGCCUUUACCCACUUGGUUUUAACUUAUGCUAAACGAACUUGUUUGUGUAAGACUAUGUUGUAGUAGCCCCUCAUGCCUAACAUUGCACACCUACGCUCAAGAGCGAAGUGUGGGGUGCAGUGCGGGGCGCACUACUAUGACUUGUUAAUGCAAGUUGAAUUAACAUUGAUUCAUUGCUCUUUUCAGUUAUCAUUUGCAGUAUCUAAAACACCAAACCACAAUCAUGGUGUGAAAGAAGAUGUAAACCCCUCCUAAAAUAGACGUUAAGUGAUAAGAAUGACCCCUCAAAGGAAAGCAAGUAAGUCAGAACUAAACAAAAUCAUGAAAAUGUGCAAAAAAGAAACUCUGAAGUGGAUACAAGGAAACCACAUAGAGCAUUAAGCAGUCCAUACAGACACAACAAAGCACGCCACAAUCACGGACAUCUAAGAAGAGAGAGGUUCCAUUUAAAAUUCAAGGAGCUUCAAAAGUCUCCUUUGGCUAAAAAGAGAAAGAUUGCGAAUGUACAAGGGAAGGAAAGGAACCAAACAUGGUUGAGUAAGAGUUUCAUUCUCACCCACUGAUGAUGAGCUUGUUAUUCCACCGCUAGAGGAUGUUGGGGGGGAAGCUAAGUGCUCUGGCUGAAAAAUCUGUAGGGGGAAAGAACUUUGUGAGCGUACAUACAUGCAAGUUCUGGGACAACAUAUGACAAAAGCGGGUGCUCCCUCAAUUGUUUGAGAGGCCACUGAAUUUUGAUGCUACUAAGAACUUGCUAGAAUAUAGUUACAAAGAUAGAAGAGGGAGGCUGGUUACGAUUUGCUCAGGGACCAAAGGGCAAGGCAAACUUGACUAUCAUACGAUAAUUAUAUGCUAAAUUGGAUCCAAACCAUGGCGACAUUUUGUGGCUUCAUGGAGUAAAGUGGAUAUUUUAGCUGUAGCCACAAACAGGUACUGCAAAGCAAAUAAUCAGGCGAUUAUAGAUUAGAAAGAGUAAAAACUUGAUUUACCGUCAGAGACGGGUCCAAGAUUUGAAGAUUGCGGUCGACACUAUACACAUAUUUAUAUAGAGACCUACCACUAGCCAGAAAGACCGAAUCGGAAGAAUGGAUGAUUCAAUUAAUUGAUUAUGAAAUAAGAUAUAAUUGUAGGAAGCAAAAUGAAUGCUAAUAUAAAGAAAUUUAAAAAAGAGAAAGAAGACAAAUUUAACACAAAAAAGAAAGGAUAAGAAUGCUGUUGUCGAGAAAUUGAACCCGGAUUCGUGCAGUACAUUAGAGACUUCAAACGCAUUGUUUGAACCAUGGCACCGACAUGCAAUUUGUGUAAUUCGGGUGCCUUUUUUUUUAAUGUAUAUAUAAAAAUAGCUCAAUUUUCAUAAAAUAUUAACAUAUUUAUUAAGAAUUGUUGUCGAAGCGUACGGGUGGUAUGCCACCCUGAUCCGACAAAGUAGAUCCGCCCCUGUUUACCGUGAAUACUUGAGACUUUUUGGGUAAGUUAAACAAGUCAGGUCAUGAAAAAAACAAACAUAAACAAGGGGGCCAAAACUUGAUUGAGCUGGAUAUGCAACAUAUGGAUGCCAGCAACACAUAAGACAAUUGUGAUAUGGGAGCAUGUAUUUAUAAUAUAAGUGUUAAUGACUCGUAUCUAUGUGAAUGUUGGAAAGAUGAUGCGCAUCGCAGAUAGAUGGCUAGGACCUUUAACAACAUGCAAUGGGGACUUUACUUUAUGCACAUCCUAACUGCAAAGCUGGAGAAGUACAAGCUGACUAAGAAGGGUGAUAAGUUGUUGGAUGUGCAUGAUAUGGCGCUUCAUGACAUGUGCUCUGUCCAAUACCCGAAUAAAGAGGACCUCCAAAAGAAAAGUUCAUGGGGUUUGUAUCACAGUUGUGGAGAAUGAACUCCAGCACUUGAGACUUGAGAGUGGUCUUAGAGGCACAUGAUCGUGUUAUGUUAACUGCAGCAGAGACUCGGUACCAUUGGAUACAGUCGCACAUAUGAUCGUUAUAUUUAAGAAGGCAUUGUUGACACGAGUCAUUUGAUUGCACACAGAUUCAGAGGAGCAGCAGAGGAUGGAGCUGAUUAGCCAAAAACAAUUUUUGCUACUAAGAAGGUGAUUGAGGCUUUAGUGGAGGUGAUUACGAUUGGACGCUCUUCUACCAGGGAGGGUGAGAUGCCUGAGGUCGUAGAUGUAUCUACCAUUGCACUUGAGGAUCCCACAGUACAAGGGACCGUGGUUCAAAACUGAUCCCGUUGUAGCCAGAGUCCACAUGAGCAAGUUUCUAACAUCCACUCUACUUUUGAAAUUUAAACUUAUAUUUUUUUCUGAUAGCAUGCAAUUGGGGAUAGUGCACAACUUAAGUGUGGGUUAGGGGUGUUAGAAAUAAUUAUUGAUUGGCACAUACUUAAAUGAUCUUCUUGAUCUAUGCAUUGCAUGCUUUUUGUGCAUGGUGCGCUCCCUCUUCAUGGUUGUUGCAAAAAAAAAGGGCAUUUCCUUGUUACAGUUGAGGAAAUAUUGAAUGGCUGCCUCUUUCGAUGCAUGCCCAUCCUAUCUGCAUCCAAAACAUCCUAGACAAAUGGUGGAGGUUGUGCAAAAAAGGUGAUAUUGCUACCUUUUAGGUUUGAGCCAAAAUUUACGAGUUUGUCUGCUGCUAUGUUUUGUUCCCUGUAUGUGUGCU
Molecule: long non-coding RNA, 3332 nt
Filed under: Nicotiana benthamiana
Lineage: Eukaryota; Viridiplantae; Streptophyta; Magnoliopsida; Solanales; Solanaceae
Description: long non-coding RNA (NBEN_LNC040343)
Source: RNAcentral